AGUGAACGCUGGCGGUAGGCCUAACACAUGCAAGUCGAACGGCAGCACAGUAAGAGCUUGCUCUUACGGGUGGCGAGUGGCGGACGGGUGAGGAAUACAUCGGAAUCUACUUUUUCGUGGGGGAUAACGUAGGGAAACUUACGCUAAUACCGCAUACGACCUACGGGUGAAAGCAGGGGAUCUUCGGACCUUGCGCGAUUGAAUGAGCCGAUGUCGGAUUAGCUAGUUGGCGGGGUAAAGGCCCACCAAGGCGACGAUCCGUAGCUGGUCUGAGAGGAUGAUCAGCCACACUGGAACUGAGACACGGUCCAGACUCCUACGGGAGGCAGCAGUGGGGAAUAUUGGACGAUGGGCGCAAGCCUGAUCCAGCCAUACCGCGUGGGUGCAGAAGGCCUUCGGGUUGUAAAGCCCUUUUGUUGGGAGAGAAAAGCAGCAGGUUAAUACCCCGCUGUUCUGACGGUACCCAAAGAAUAAGCACCGGCUAACUUCGUG
This 492-nucleotide ribosomal RNA is filed under the name uncultured bacterium. RNAcentral describes it as "partial 16S ribosomal RNA". It matches the Rfam family "Bacterial small subunit ribosomal RNA", at positions 29 to 507 of the family's 1533-position model. The record is from RNAcentral.